UGAGUAAUGUCUGGGAAACUGCCCGAUGGAGGGGGAUAACUACUGGAAACGGUAGCUAAUACCGCAUAACGUCGCAAGACCAAAGUGGGGGACCUUCGGGCCUCACACCAUCGGAUGUGCCCAGAUGGGAUUAGCUAGUAGGUGGGGUAAUGGCUCACCUAGGCGACGAUCCCUAGCUGGUCUGAGAGGAUGACCAGCCACACUGGAACUGAGACACGGUCCAGACUCCUACGGGAGGCAGCAGUGGGGAAUAUUGCACAAUGGGCGCAAGCCUGAUGCAGCCAUGCCGCGUGUAUGAAGAAGGCCUUCGGGUUGUAAAGUACUUUCAGUGGGGAGGAAGGCGUUAAGGUUAAUAACCUUGGCGAUUGACGUUACCCGCAGAAGAAGCACCGGCUAACUCCGUGCCAGCAGCCGCGGUAAUACGGAGGGUGCAAGCGUUAAUCGGAAUUACUGGGCGUAAAGCGCACGCAGGCGGUCUGUCAAGUCGGAUGUGAAAUCCCCGGG
Molecule: ribosomal RNA, 504 nt
Filed under: uncultured bacterium
Lineage: Bacteria
Description: bacterial SSU rRNA
Rfam family: Bacterial small subunit ribosomal RNA
Source: RNAcentral